This 254-nucleotide ribosomal RNA is filed under the name uncultured bacterium. RNAcentral's name for it is "partial 16S ribosomal RNA". It matches the Rfam family "Bacterial small subunit ribosomal RNA", at positions 524 to 776 of the family's 1533-position model. The record is from RNAcentral.
AACGUAGGAGACAAACGUUAUCCGGAGUUACUGGGCGUAAAGGGCGCGUAGGCGGGUCGUUUAGUUAGAGGUGAAAGCCCAGGGCUCAACCCCUGGAAUUGCCUUUAAUACUGGCGGCCUUGAGUAUGGCAGAGGUGUGUGGAACUCCGAGUGUAGAGGUGAAAUUCGUAGAUAUUCGGAAGAACACCAGUGGCGAAGGCGACACACUGGGCCAUUACUGACGCUGAGGCGCGAAAGCGUGGGGAGCAAACAGG